This 865-nucleotide ribosomal RNA is filed under the name Collariella quadrum. RNAcentral describes it as "eukaryotic LSU rRNA". It matches the Rfam family "Eukaryotic large subunit ribosomal RNA", at positions 43 to 941 of the family's 3401-position model. The record is from RNAcentral. Lineage: Eukaryota; Fungi; Ascomycota; Sordariomycetes; Sordariales; Chaetomiaceae.
UCAAUAAGCGGAGGAAAAGAAACCAACAGGGAUUGCCCUAGUAACGGCGAGUGAAGCGGCAACAGCUCAAAUUUGAAAUCUGGCUUCGGCCCGAGUUGUAAUUUGUAGAGGAAGCUUUAGGCGCGGCACCUUCUGAGUCCCCUGGAACGGGGCGCCAUAGAGGGUGAGAGCCCCGUAUAGUUGGAUGCCUAGCCUGUGUAAAGCUCCUUCGACGAGUCGAGUAGUUUGGGAAUGCUGCUCAAAAUGGGAGGUAAAUUUCUUCUAAAGCUAAAUACCGGCCAGAGACCGAUAGCGCACAAGUAGAGUGAUCGAAAGAUGAAAAGCACUUUGAAAAGAGGGUUAAAUAGCACGUGAAAUUGUUGAAAGGGAAGCGCUUGUGACCAGACUUGCGCCGGGCGGAUCAUCCGGUGUUCUCACCGGUGCACUCCGCCCGGCUCAGGCCAGCAUCGGUUCUCGCGGGGGGAUAAAGGUCCUGGGAACGUAGCUCCUCCGGGAGUGUUAUAGCCCAGGGCGUAAUGCCCUCGCGGGGACCGAGGUUCGCGCAUCUGCAAGGAUGCUGGCGUAAUGGUCAUCAGCGACCCGUCUUGAAACACGGACCAAGGAGUCAAGGUUUUGCGCGAGUGUUUGGGUGUAAAACCCGCACGCGUAAUGAAAGUGAACGUAGGUGAGAGCUUCGGCGCAUCAUCGACCGAUCCUGAUGUAUUCGGAUGGAUUUGAGUAAGAGCGUUAAGCCUUGGACCCGAAAGAUGGUGAACUAUGCUUGGAUAGGGUGAAGCCAGAGGAAACUCUGGUGGAGGCUCGCAGCGGUUCUGACGUGCAAAUCGAUCGUCAAAUCUGAGCAUGGGGGCGAAAGACUAAUCGAACC